AUAAAUUAUAAUUUUUUUAUUAUUAGGUAUUGCAUAUCAUUUAAAGAAAAUUUUAUUUUAAUAAAAUAUAAAAUUAAAAGGUAGAAUUUUUAUUAUUUUUAUUGUUUCAUAAUAAAAAUUAUAAAAUUUAGGGUUGAAAAGUCGACUUUUAAGAUAUUUGUUUAAAUAGUUAUUUAUUAGAAAUUUAUGUUAAAAAAUAAUUUUUAUAUAAAAAGUAAAAGUUGAAGUAUUUUAAUGGUUAGUUUUACAACUGUUUAUGUAAUUUGAUAAGUGAAAUUAAAGGUAGCGGGUGUUAUUAAUGUUUUAAUAACUAAAUUAUUUUAGAAUUAGUAGUAAAAUUUUAAAUUAUUUAAAGUUUUUUAAUUUAAUAAAAUAACUAAAGAAUUAAUCAAAUGUUUAUUAAAGACUUAGACUUUUUAAUAAAGUUUGCUUCUGCCCAAUGAAUAUAAUUAAAUGGCACUCUUAGCGU
This 469-nucleotide ribosomal RNA is filed under the name Cylicostephanus calicatus. Its description in RNAcentral is "partial large subunit ribosomal RNA". Lineage: Eukaryota; Metazoa; Nematoda; Chromadorea; Rhabditida; Strongylidae. The record is from RNAcentral.